Molecule: long non-coding RNA, 742 nt
Organism: Xiphias gladius (swordfish)
Lineage: Eukaryota; Metazoa; Chordata; Actinopteri; Istiophoriformes; Xiphiidae
Exons: 3
Source: RefSeq, a predicted model, not a curated record
UUUGGGUCCAUUUUCACUCGUCGGGAACUCAUGCGCCCCAUUUGCGUCUCUGUGGACGUGGAAACUGGGGGAAGCGCCCAUGAACACAGCGGGAACACGCAGGGUCCACGCACGGGGCCCGGUCGGGUUCAAGUCCACGGAACUUGUUGGUUUUAGACCAUAUUGCUGACGUGAGGCCGCCGUGCCGCUGCGUCUCUGCUGGUCGUCAAGGCAACCAAGAAGAGAGGAGUUUGGGUUUUGGCUUAUCGGGGUGGACCGCAGCAGACCCCCCCCCCUUGCAUCUCUGCCCUCUUUCUUCUCUCUCAUCAGUGACCGGGGAAGCUGGUGGGAGGAGGCGGCACAACGACGUGGGAGGACAAAUAUUUCAGCUCAAAGGAACCGAGGCUCCACUUGCAGCACCGGUCCUGAAAGUGUAACUCCGGGGCCGCCGACAUCUGUCAGGGGACUCCAGGUGUCCGUCGGCAAAAUGAAUGCAUUAUACCUACGUAGUAUCUGAACCAAAGUCGUCUAUGUACUGCAAACCUCUUCUUAAUCCACUUGAAAUAAUCACCCAACUGAAAUCCACAGACCUGCUAUUGCACAACCCACCUCCUCCUCAUCACCACCUUGACCUCCGGGACGUCCAGGAAGACUCAACUGAAAUGCCCCCACCGUUCAUCUGCUUCCUCUAGGCUGCUCCGGGGUUGGGUCCUGUCCUAUCUACAUCUUCAUUAGGGCGUACGUUCAAUGAAGAUGCUUCACA